CCCUUAGAUGUUCUGGGCCGCACGCGCGCUACACUGAUGCAUCCAACGAGUCUAAAACCUGCUCUGAUAGGGGUGGGUAAUCUUUUGAAUGUGCAUCGUGAUUGGGAUAGAUGAUUGCAAUUUUUCAUCUCCAACGAGGAAUGCCUAGUAAACGCAAGUCAUCAGCUUGCAUUGAUUACGUCCCUGCCCUUUGUACACACCGCCCGUCGCUCCUACCGAUUGAAUGAUCCGAUGAAUAUCAUGGAUUGAGGAUUAUAGCAGGUUCGCCUGUCUUGAUCUUCGAGAAGUGAAGUAAAUCUUAUCAUUUAGAGGAAGGAGAAGUCGUAACA
This 329-nucleotide ribosomal RNA is filed under the name uncultured eukaryote. Its description in RNAcentral is "partial 18S ribosomal RNA". It matches the Rfam family "Eukaryotic small subunit ribosomal RNA", at positions 1470 to 1796 of the family's 1831-position model. The record is from RNAcentral.